This is a long non-coding RNA of Ruditapes philippinarum (Manila clam), 600 nucleotides long. RefSeq lists it as uncharacterized. The transcript has 3 exons. The record is from RefSeq and is a predicted model, not a curated record. NCBI's taxonomy places the organism in Eukaryota, Metazoa, Mollusca, Bivalvia, Venerida, Veneridae.
CUGGUUGCUACUAGAGCCACCAUUGAAUUCACCUUCAUAACCAGUUGAUUUACGGCAACUAUUGAUUUUCAUAGCGAAAAUGAAUAUUAUAUAUUUUAUUAUCAUAUAUGUUUUCAAUUUAUUAUAAGCUGAAUUGUUCACGAAUGGUGGAAAAGAUAUUGCGUUCAGUGAUUAUGGACAAACAUGGAAACUUCACAGAACAAUUGCUUCAAAGGCAUUGCGAAAUUACUUGCAAGGAGACGCUUUAGAGCAGAGAUUAUUUGAAGCAGUAAAUGCGGCGUUUGUUGAAAUCGAUAAAGUCUCUGGUCAGUUUGAUCCCGGACAGUACAUCAAUUUUAUUGUUACCAACAUUCUGACGAGCAUGUGCUUUGGUGAAAAAUACGAUUUUAACGAUAAAGAAUUUAGUCAUCUUUUGAAAAAUGGAAGAUGUACUGAUUAAAAAAUAAAUUACAGAAGGUGUGCCUGAAGAUUUUAUACCAGGUCUAAGAUAUGUAUACAAGUCAAAAGCAUUUAAAGAAUUGGAGGGAUUAAAAGAUUGUCUAAUAGAAGGUUUCAUUAGGAGAAAAUACAAGGCAAGAGAGUCAACUUUUAACAAAGGUG